Molecule: long non-coding RNA, 4479 nt
Organism: Uranotaenia lowii
Lineage: Eukaryota; Metazoa; Arthropoda; Insecta; Diptera; Culicidae
Exons: 9
Source: RefSeq, a predicted model, not a curated record
UGAUUUUCACCCAACAAACCAUUAAGCCCUGUUUUGAGCCGAAUAAUGACUAUUCAACAGCACUUCAGUGCCUGUUAGCCGUGUUGAAUGUUUUUAAUUGUUAAUAGGCCCUGUGGGAAUCAAGCAGCGAAGAAGGUUGUGUAUUAGUUCGUAUACCCUGUCAGGAAGGUUUGCUCAAUCGGGCCGAUUACAAAACAGAGAUGCCAGCACUCGAAUUCUAGCGGUUAGAAUUCGAUCUAUUAUCGGCUCGAUUUCCAUCCGCCUGCUCGAUUGCUCGAAAACCGACGAUAUUUUUUGCAGUGCUGCUAUGAACAAAACGAAACACGAGCAGUUUUCAAUUGCAGCAAUCUGGGCGCGUGUUUCGUUUUGGUGCGUGAUUGUUGUGUUGUGAAUGUUUCCGCUGUUUUUGUUCAGAAACAUUUUGAGCGCUGUAGUAAAAAAAACCAUUGUCCGGCGAUAAUUUAAUAAUAAGCAAGGUAUGUUAAGAUUGAUUGAAUUCUAAACAAUCAAGUUUUAUUUACAUAUAUAAUUUUCUAACCCAUUAUCGUCCCCACAGUAAACAUCGGCUCAUGCAAACAAAGCUUCCAAGGAAAUGUCCCGUGGGUAAAAGCUUUGGUGGAAUUUCAUCCGGACCCACUCAGAGGUGGUCGCUUCACUUGGAUGACUUUUAAUUAGUUUUUGGCGUGAUACUUAAAAGUGGAAAGCAAGAUCUCUUGCGCUUGCAGUUCCAUGAUGUUAACGUAUGAAGUCGUAUGGGGUAUAUGGUCGACUUUGCCGGUCCAUCAUUUUAAUGCAAAAAAAACGCGCACAACAGAAGAAGAGAAAAUCAAACAUAAAACUGGCCCCGUUUCCGUUUGUGAAGCUGUUUUCAUUAGUGGUUGCACUAAGCAAUAGCUAAUGCCUUCUUCAGCAGUCUCGCCAAACUGGAAAAGCGGUGAACUUGACGGUAAUCCCGGUGGAUUAGAACAAAGUCUUCGUGAAUCCUCCACUUCCAGCCGACAUAAUGGGAAGUUCAACACCGUCACUCAACUAUUAGCUUAAAAGCAGCAAAAACUGUUGGUGUCAGCAGCAACUGCAACAGCAGUAUCAGCAUCGGUUUUUCACCUGCUGCGUCGUCGAAACCUUCGGUGGCCGGAUCCAAUUUCGGGUCGACUAUGCGAGACCGCGCCCCCACAAUCUGCAACAAUAGGCUGUGCUAAAUCCUAAGUUCAGACAAUAGGUACAAACAGUCUUACUCCCGUUCGAUGUGAUCAUAGAAUGAAAGCUACAGAUUUAGAGGAAUACUAGAGCUGAGAACGAGUUGCUGCGUAUGAGGACGAUAACAGCUAUUUUUUUUAGUGAAGUGCAGCAGUUGUAAUUGGAUCCACUAGAUGCAACAUAAUAAAAGGGGCGCUAAGACGGACGAAUGCUGUGGUCCUGUGUGUAUUCAUUGUAUACCGUGGAUUCCUCGCAAUGCAUGUGAAGACGUUUUAGCCUCAGGAGAUUGCCAUCGAUGCCAGUAUCAAUCUGCAGGAUAAUUGCACAUAAAAAGAAUCGUCCGUUCAACAUGACUUUUUUUUAACUCAUCGCUUUUGGGAUUUCUACAAACAGCUAAAUCGGACGAUGUCGAUUCGAUGAUGGACGUAAAAGAGCGAAAGGUUACUUAUAAUGGUUUACCGAACUCUUUGACUCCGAAGUUUGUCCCAACCAAGCAGCUGUUGCUGAUGACUAUGAGUUCGAUUACGUAGCUUUGUAGAGAUUAGCUAAAGGAAUUCUAGUAAUUUGAUGACAGCUCCAGAUGAUGUUGAAGUAAAUAAAUAACGAUUUUCCACUUUCACUGACGAGUUGUUACCUUGUCGCGAUAGCGAUGCCACAGACACGGUCAGUGAAUGCAUUCGUCGAGAAAGUGGGUGAAACUAUAUUUGGGCCCAGUCAUAGCUUCCCUACCGAUCACCCACCGUACAAUUAAUAGCUCUGGUAUGGAUGUCCUUCACGUGCCUACAUCGUAGCCUCCACCGCUUGGUCGGUCCAGUGAAAAAGAUGCAUGCACUAUACUUUUGUCGGAAGAUGAAUCCCUCAAAAAGCGUUUUGGCAGAAAAAACUAAACCCACAUUUCGAUUCGAUCACCCGGGAGUUUUUUUAGUUGCCAUAAGCAAUGAUACUAAUCUGCAGAAUGAUUCUGGUAGCCAUUUUUAUAGCCGUAACUUUUAACAUGCAACGUCAAAGAUGUAAAUGCGAGGAAAAUACAUUAAGAAAAAUUCAAUAAAAUAAAUUUGAAGAUGAUUUACCGUGAUUUACCAUCGAAAUAAACCUCCGGUGGUACAGAACAAGGUCAUCAACAAAAAAGCCCAGUAGCAACAGCAACAGAAGCAUCAAAGCUAGCCCAAAACUUUGAUUACGGAGGUGUUGAAAAACUAGUAUCUUGUCAACCAAUUUCGUAAAUUGAGUCUACCUUUUCGAAAAUUUCGGAGGGUACGAAACCGCAGCUAGACCAAGUAUAUCAACUACUUCAAUCAAUAUUCCUCCGUAUUUUCUCGGAUAAUGAUGAAGUUGUGAAAAAAUCGGGAUCUCAACCUACUAGGAAAACAAGUUCGACUGCUACCACUGCAUGUGCUAUAACAACAAUUGGUGCACCAACGUUCAGCUCCGGAACGAUGACUGGUAAUUUGAGUGAUUCUAUUUAAGAUCAGUAUUGGUCAGUGAGAUCAUCGAAAGGAAUUUUAUUGAACAAGUUUUUUUUAAUGUUAUUUUCAGUCAACAGAAAAAAAUUUUACGGGCAACGUUCGGCUGCAUCAAUUCGAUGGGUUCCAGAUUGAAAAGCGGGACAAGUAUUCACAUGAGAUGAAACUGCCAAUAUAAACGUACCAACCAAAUCAUUAAAAUCGUCGAGUGUUUCAACAGCAUCAGACAAACAGAUACCGCGGCCUGCCUAACCUACACUAUGAAGCACACAAGAAAAAAGUUCGACCUAAAUUCCUUGGCUGUGUACUCUGAAGGUAGUUAUGAUAAGUAAUGGAAGAGAAAGAGAAAUUGACGAACCAUCAGAUCUUACUAUUGCUAGAAUAGAAAUCAGGACAUUGAUGCCUGUCAAUAUUAAUAUUGUUCAAUAUUGACGCCAAUAAUGUGUUCUCACAAUUUGUCAUUAUAAUGUUUGUUAAUAUUUAAUAGACAUCUCAUACAAAAUAUGAAAAACAAAUAGAAAAAUCCAUUAAUUUGAGAAAAUUAGGUAAAGUCGGAGUGCUAUCGAUUUGGCCGACGAAGAAUCGAAUAAAGAGAAAUUCUGGUGCUCCUUUUUACGUGAAGACUUUUUUGAAACGUUUUUGUUAACAUUUUUAUCUUUAUUUUUAAUCUUUCAGAUUCUAUCGAAAUAUUCACAAACUGCUCUUCGAAGGCCCCAUUCUAAAAGAACUCUAGGUAGAUUGUAUGGAAUAUAUAUUUUUUACCACUCCCAACAAUGAAUAGAGCAAAUUAAUUUAAAAAAAAGGAAACCCAGUAGCGCCACGACCAAUGAAGAGCCGUCAUCUGGUGCUGGAAACGGUUCCGACGCAGUCAUUCCCUCAGUGGUUGCAUCAACAAUUUCCGUUCCGAAGGCCACCACCAUUCCUUCCAUCCCACCAGGAAUGUUCGCCCAACACAUCGUAUCAGCCGCUGCUUAUACCUCUUCUUGUGCCAUUACCGAUUAAGAAGCGGAAGAUGGUGACGACGAUUAUGCAUCGUUUCCAGCGAAUAUGAUCUUCGGUCAGUCAAAAUGGGCGAUGAAGAUUAGAAUCAGGUGUUCUGUGGCCGUUCAAAGUUGUUCAGGACGACAAACAGUUUAAGAGGCCUCGGCGAGUUGAAAUUUUGUGUAGCAAAACUGAUCCAAGCAAAUUUCGAAUUGUCAUGCGAGGCGAACAGAUGCACAAAAUUGCUGCCAACCAUUCGAUUGAAUAAGCUUGCGCCAAACAUCGCAAUGUUUUAUAGUCGAAGAGGCAGCAAACGAAUGUAUUAGAAGAACAAAAACUAAAAAAUAAACUAAUGAAAUAAAAAUCUAGCUUUUUGUAACAAAACCGAAAAACCUAAAUGAAUGGCAACAAUGCUAAUUGGCCCAGAAACGGUUCGAAAAACCGUUCUGUUUCGGUCCGAAAUCGGUCCUUUUUUACAGAUGGAUGCUAUGGCAAUCGGCCCAGAAUCGGUUCGAAAAAUCGUUCGGAUUCGGUCCGAAAUCGGUUCUUUUUUUCGGAUAGAGGCUAUGGCAAUCGACCCAGAAUCGGUUCGAAAAUUCGUUCGGUUUCGGUCCGAUAUCGGUCCUUUUUUCGGAUGGACGCUAUGGCAAUCGGCCCAGAAACGGUUCGAAAACCAUUAGGUUUCGGUCCGAAAACGGUUCGCUUGUUUUGACAUUUGAUCUGCUCGAACUGGUUGAAAAAACUUAUCGUCGUCCGAAAAAGUGUUUCAUUUUCGCACGAUUUUCUACUAAACUCGGCCCGAUUUCUUAUACGAUUUCGGACCGAUCGAGCAGAUGAA